CGUGGUGAAGCAACCUUGCUUGGGCAAAGCCACGGAGCAUCCUCCCCAGUAUGGUUCUCCUCUUGUAAAUGGCAACUUUGGCUACGAAAGUGUCGAUGACAUCCUCAGCUAGGUGGGCCACAUCUCUGAUUUGGUUCACCACUGUAUUUUCAAUUCCCUUCUUUCUCUUUGAGGUAUUGAGAAGGUCGUUGAUCAUUUGAAGCUCGUUCUGAAGGGACUGGACUCUGUCCUCCACGCCAUACAGCAAGUUAGCUUCGUGUGCCACAAGCUGGGAUAAGUGAUCCAAAACAAAAGUAACUACACUGUCUGGCAUUACACUGUCUGCCAUUACAGCAUAGACGUGCCUGCAGAUUUUGAUCUGUGCUUAGAUAAUGUGUUUGUGGUUGGUGAUGGAAGAAGAGGAAGAAUGAUUUACUAAGGAAGAAUGAAAAAACAAUGGAAGGAGAACUUGAUUGUAUAGCUUGCAGCCACACACUAAAGAAUAUAUAAUGGAAAGUGGUUGCCAUUGACUUUGCGUCAACCAUGAAUACGGUUGGAAUAUUUAUGAUGAUACAACAUUUAAUUGCAUAAUAACACCUUCCACUCAUUUAAUUGCAUAUUGCUCUGUGGCAUUGCAACAGUCCAAUUUCAAUAUUUUUAUUUAUUUAAUAUUAGUAAAACUUUCUCUUCCAAUAUGAAAUAAAUAUAAAGACAGAUGAGUAGACAUAGCAGGAAGGUGCCAUGUUACUCAGCAAUAUGAAAUUAAAUGUUUCAUAAAUAUUCCAACAACUUUUAAACUACAUUCAAAAUGGAAUUAAAUGUUUCAUAAAUAUUCCAACAAUUUUUAAACUACAUUCAAAAUAGAAUUAAAUGUUUCAUAAAUAUUCCAACAACUUUUAAUGGAAGGUUUGUAACAACGUGUUUUUUUUUAAAAAAAAAACACCAACAUGAACCUUAUCCCCCUGCACCACAAUACCUCUUUUAUUUUUUUUCUCUUUCUCUUUCUCUUUCUCUUUCUUUUUCUCUUUCUCUUUCUAAAUCUUUCCCUUCUCUCUUAAUUUUCCCCUCCCAAUCUUCAUCUAUUUUAGAAUUUGAUCGGAUCACGUUGUAGCUGGCGAGUUAAAGACCAUUUCUACCCGAUCAGAUUUUCAAACAGAGUAAGUUCAUUUUUACUCUAAAUAUCCUUUGUUCUCUGUUUUUUCUUAGGAUUUAGUCAUCAAUCUUGGUGGGGUCAGUUGAGAAGUUUAACCCUCUCAACUUAUUCUACUAUAUACUAAAUUUUGUUCUGUUUGGAUAAUUUGCAUUAGGCCCGUAAAUCUUGAAGCUUAUCCAAACGGUGGGGAAUAAAAUUCUAAAAGUUGCUUGAAAAGCAAGCAAUUGAGGUAAGGGAAGCUAAAUUUAAUUUUUUAUAGCACCCUAGGAUAGAAGAUCUGAAUGCGGAAGGGACGUGGUCCCAAUAUUGAUUUUCUCGUGCAGGGGUGUUAUUUGUUUAUAUAUUAUUUAAACUUUAUAAAUAUUAUAUUUUGAUAGCUUGAGAGUUAAAUAUUGUUUUUGACGUUGAAAAAGUUCUGGAAUGAUAUGAAUUUUUAAAUGUUAUGUGAUUGAAUGAUAUGUAUUAUAUGCGGAUGAUGUAAAUUGUAUGAAAGUGAUGUCAUACAUUUGGGAUAAUGUAUGAGUUGUUGUUUGAUGGUACGUUAAGUAUGAAAAGCCUAUGUUUAACGGAGAUCCUCUGGCUUCACUAAUGAUCUAAGUCAUGUAGACUAAGAUAUUAGGUGGUGAGAAGCUGAGAGGGAGUUCAUACACACCGGGUCCCACUGUAGACACUCGGUAUUGGAUGUUUGAACUUACCCUGAUCCUUUCUAUUAGAUUCGCUGGUAAUCUUUGGGUCAGGUGUUAGUCUCUGGUAGGGACAUACUUAAUGAGUCUUCCGGAAGAUGAAGUGGGAUUGAAAUGAAAUCCAAUGAUUGUGAUUGAAAAUAGAUCCAUGUGUGGUCUAUAUGAAUGAUGAAAUUGAUAUUGAAAUUUUACAUGACAACAUUUAAAGUAAUGUUUAUAAAUGAUUUGUUUGGUUGGUUCUUUUUGUAAGAAUUAGAUAUGAUAUGCAAUUUCUUUUCACUAGCUUACCCUUGCUUUUCUUGCUGUGUUUAAACUGCGAUGACUGUACUAUGUACACGAGCAGAUGAUCUUACAGGUAUCUGAGGAUCAAAAGAGUUUUAAGGCGUUGAUUUUGAAACUUAUAUUGUAAAUAUUUGUAUUUCUAUAUGUCCUAAUCAUGUAUUAAGAAUGUUUUGAAAAACUUUAUGCUUGUAUAGAAAUAAGUAGAAUCUGUAUUGUAAUAGUUAGAUGUAUUUUUCCGGGGUGUUACAAGGUUGGUUGAACCGUAUUCAUGGUUGACGCAAACUCAGUGCAAAAAUAAAACCAGAUAUUUUACCAAAAAUAUCUUAAUUUAAACUAAAAAUUAUUUCCCUUGAUCUUCUUCUCCUCUUGCAUUCAUUUAUUUACAUAUCUAAAACCAUAUAAUACUAGUUCGUUCAUUAUCAUUUUCUCAUUUAUAAUUUUAUAUCUAAACAAUUCAAAAAUAUGAUAUUUGUUAAGAGACUAUUUUAAAUAUAAAAUUUUAUCCACUAAUUUAGUAAAACAAUUAUGUAUAACUUUCCAUAAAAAUUUUAAAAAUAUAAAAAUUAUUUAUAUGUAUAAUUGUCAUUCUAUAAAAAAAAAUUCCAUUUAUAUACUCAUUCCAACUUUUUCUCAAUUUCAACUCUUAUAAAAGUAGAACUUUAUCUUCCAAUUUAAAUCUUUUUUUUAUUUACAUAUAAGUAUUUGUAUUGCAUUCUUUUUCUGAAUUAUGAUUUUUUACAACAAUUUUUAGAUUAUUAUUUUUAUUAUUAUAUAUGAUUGUUCGAUAAAUAAAAUAAAGCUUUUUUGAAAAAAAAUUAGGAUGUAUACAUAUAGUGUUAAAUCAACACCUUGCUUCUCUUAAGUUUUUUUAAUUUUUAAACCUUUUUUUUUAAAUAUGCAACACUCAAAUAUGACUCAAAUAUGACUUAAGAGAGAGUUUGUGUAGUAAAUAAUUAUUUAUAUGAGGUUAAAAUUACAGAAAAGCUUCAUUCACAAAACAAAUCUAAACUGAGGUUUAAAACCGAAUUUUGAACGGAGUUUUAUAUUUUUAUUUAAAAAUAUUAAAAAAUAGUUUUAAAUUUUCAAAAUAAAAAAUAUCAUCUUAAAAAAGAAAUAUUUUAAAUAAAAUUAUGAAAAAAUAUAUGUUUUAAAAAUAAAAAUUUAGAAAGAUAAUUAUAUUGAAGAAUAAUAUUUUAAUUAAAAAAAUAAAUUUUUACCUCUUUAAAUAGUGAUAUAUACUUUCUCGAACAAUAUUUUCAUAUUUUCUUGAUAGUAGUGAAUACUUCCAAUUUGAUAUAAGACAUAGUAAAAUAGCGUGGUUUUGAAUUUUAAGACUUUUUUUAUAAGAAAAACCCGAUCGAAACAUUUUUUUUUUCAAAAAUAAAAAUGAAAAAAUUAGUUUUAAAAAUAGGAAAAAGGAAAGGUUAAGAAAAUAUAUAAUUUAUAUUUUAUUAUGUUUAAACAAAAUAACUUGUAAAAAGAUAAGGAAAUUGGGAGAAAUGAUAUCCAAAUAUAUAUUAUGAAAGUUUUUGCAAUAAAUAAUUUAAAAAGACUUGGGGUCAACAGUUAUUGUUUUAUAUUUUUCCUUUUAUUUUGAGUCAACCAUGAAUAAUCUUCAACUCAACCUUCCACUCAUCACUUAUUUAACUGCACCUUCCUGCUAUGUGCCAAAUUGCCAGAGAAUAUAUAUUAUUUUCUAUUUAGAAAUUUAUAAAUUUCAUUUAUUUUAAAUUUUUAUUUAUAUAUUACAUUAAAUAAGUCACCGUAUUUAUUUAUUUAGGAUUUUGAAUAAUUUUGAAAUUCAACUUACUUUGAAUUUUUAAGUAGAAAAUUAAAUAAUUUAGAUUUUAUAUUUAUUUAAGAUUUUAAGAUUUUAUUUCUUUGAAAUUACUAGUAGAAAAUAAAACAAUUUAGAAUUUGUAUUUGUUUAGGAUUGUGGAAAAUUUAGAAAUUUUAUUAAUUUUAGAUUUUUAUCCUAUAAUGAAAUUAAAUAAUUUAGGAUAUGGAUAAAUUUUGAAACUUGAAAAUUUUCAGAAUUUUACUGAUUUUUAAUUUUAUUUAAAAAUGAUAUUAUAAGUAGAAAAUAAAAUAAUUUCAGAGUUUUUAUUUAAUUAGGAUUUUUACCAACUAUAGAAAUUUUAUUUAUUUGAGUUUUAUUUAUUUUUGUAUGACAUAAAAUAAGUUAGGAUUUGUGUUUAUUUAGAAUUUUUUAUAUUUUAGAUUUUUUUUUAUUAUUAUUUAGAAUAAUUUAAAAAAAUUAUUUAUUUCAAAUAUUUUCUUGUAAAUCUUUAUUUAAAUAUGAAAUUUAAUAAUUUAAGAUUUAUAUUUACUUAUAAUUUUAAAUAAUUUAGGUAUUUUAUUUUUUGAAUUUUUUAUUUAAGUAUGAUACUGAAUAAUUUAUUAUUUGUAAUUUUUUAAAAUUUUAAAUAAUUUAGGAAUUUUUAUUGAAAUUUUUUAUUUAAGUAUGAUAUUAAAUAAUUUAAAAUUUGUAUUUAUUUAGGAUUUUGAAUAAUUUAGAAAUUCGAUUUAUUUUAGAUUUUAUUUAAUUAAAAUAUUAAAUUAUUUAGAUUUUGUAUCUAUUUAGGAUUUUGAAAUUUUAAAAAAAUAUUAUUUAUUUAUAUAGGAAAUAAAAUAAUUUAGGAUUUAUAUUUAUUUAGAACUUGAAAAAAUAUAGAAGUUUAAUUAAUUUAGAUUUUUAUAUUAGAAUGUCAUUAAAUAUAAUUUUAGAAUUUUAUUGAUUUUCAAUUUUUAUUUAAGAAUGAUAUUAAAUUUUUUGGGACUUAUAUUUUUUAGGAUUUUAAAAAUUUACAAAAUUUUAUUUACUUUUAAUUUUUAUUUAAGUAGGAAAUAAAAUAGUUUAAGAUUUUGUAUUUAUUUAGGAUUUUAAAAAACUUAAAAAAAAUUAUUUAUUUGAUAUUUUUAUUUAAAAAUAAUAUUAAAUUAUUUAGAAUAUGUAUUUAUUUAAAAUUUUGAAUAAUUUAACAUUUUAAAAUGAUAGAAAUUUUAUUUAUUUUUGAUAUUUUUAUUUAAGUAUGUCAUAAAAUAAGUUAGGCACCGGAGAAAGCAAUGGCUUGUAGCUUGCAACCACACACUAAAUGAUAUCCAAAUAAUUUAAAAAGACUUGGGCUCAAGAAUUGUUGUUUUAUAUUUUUCCAUAUAUAUGUGCCAAAUUGAUAUAUAUAUAUAUAUAUAUAUAUAUCUUACCAAUUUCUUAUCACUCAUAAUAAUAACGUAAUAAAAAUUAGAAUAUGAUAAUCAAAUGACUUUAAUUUAGUGGUUAGAGGUAUCCUGGUUAGUGGUCCUAAGUUUAAGUCUCACCUACAACAAAAUGGUAAUAAUAAUAGAUUGUAAUAAUUAGAAAUAAUAAUUGUAAAUGAUUAAUAAUAUUUUUAAUAUUAAUAAUAAUUAAUAACACUAAUAAUUACCGACAAAAGAUUUUAUUGGUAAAUUUACCGAUAGAAUAUUUUUCGUCAAUAAAUUUACCGACAAACAUAUUAUUUAUAAAUUUUUAUCUGUCGUUUUUUCAUCGGUAAUGUAUACUUGUUGACGGAUUUUUGGUCUUACCUAUGGAUUAGACCGUUGAUUAUAUGUUUUUUUUUUAGUAUGUGAAACUUUUAUCACUAGUCCAUUCAUUUCUUACUUUUAAACUAAAUAAUCUUAAAGUUGCUAACAAUCUUGUGAAGUUAUUGAAUACUGGAUAAUUGUUUCUCCAAAUCAAGCAUAAAAGAAUCAUACACAUGUAUUCUUCCAAAAUUUUGUUACCACCAUCAUGUAUCCUUUCCUUUAAAUUAUCGUUUAUCCCUUCUUUAAUAUUUUUUAUCGUCAACAUAAUUUGAGUGACUAAUAUUUUUUCGUGUCGUAUACGUAUUGUAUAACUCUUAACAAUAUAAAAGAUAAAUCGAUGAUAAUUAUAAUAUCCCAACUAUUAUAUGAAUAAUUGUUAUUUGAUUCUUUGAUUUCUUGAAAUUAUAUCAUGCUUGUUAUGAUGUGUUGUUAGGAUUUGUUGUAAUUUUUUUCUUUUGUUUGCAUUGUAUUCCUUUUAUAUCUUGUGAGUCCAUAAAGUGUUUUUCCAGGAAUGCAAAAGGAUGAGUGUGGCGGUAUUUGAUGAUCAUAUAUUUACUCAUACUUAAUAGCUUUAAUCAUAGAUGUCUUUGACUAAAAUCAUGUAUAACUCUACUAUUUUAAGUAAGAAUCAUCUAACUGGGUUUAUUUGGACCUUAACUAUUAUUUAUGAUAAUAUUGUAAUUUAGUCCCAGUAGACGGUCCAAUGCUUCUCAGAGUUCAUUGGAUGGUCUAAUAAGAGCGUUUGCUAAAGAGUUUUAAGGAAGUUUUUAUCUCUACAAGUGGGUUGAAUAUGCGAAAGUCCAAGUUGCUUAUUUGAAUCAAAGAGAAAAAAAAAAUCUUAAGGGAAGAAUUAGAGAAUAAAAUCUAAUAUAUCAUAAACAGAAUUGGAAGCAAAUCUUUUGCAAAAUACAAAGAAACAUAGUUCAUGACGAAAGUGAAAAUAAAAUUUAGGAAUUCUGAAAAGUUAAAAACUUAAAAAUCGAAGCAAUAUCUAAACUGAAAUAUAUUUUUGAGAUCCUUGAAACAAAGAAACCUACAAAAGGAUGUAAGCUUCAAGGAGAAAGGGGAAAGUUUCAGAGCUUAACACAAUGCAUUCGAAAAACAGAGCAUUAGAGUUUUCUUAGGUUUUAUUUGUUUUUCUUCGUUAUAAUUCUUUCAUUUACCUUCGUAUGGAAGGUUAAACUCAUUCAUGUUGAUUCUCUUGUGACUUUGCAAUGAAUUUUGAGAUUUGUGUUCAAUAAAGUUUUAUUCUUAAAUUCUAUGUAGCAAUACAUGUAAAAAGGUUUGGUCUUUUUGAAUUUUGAUUUUUUUUAAAGAAUUUUCUUUGAACAAUUGUUAAGAAUUCUGUUAUUUUAAUUAAUUGGAGUUUUUGGUUAGUUUAUUUUACAUGCGGGUUAGACCGCAGUUCGCUACCUCUCCUCCCAGAAGUUUGCUACUAACUUCCUGCUAGAACAAAUACAGUCUGACUAACCUAAAUAAAUCACUUAUGUUUAAUUGAAUACAUACAAACUAGGGGAUCUAGACACCAACAGAAAAGGAAAAACAAGAAGGGACUUUAGAGGUUACCCAGGACCAGACUUUUAGUUGAGCCAUGGAGUUAGUAUGAAGAGUGACAGUGGAUUUAGUUUUAGGUAAAGUCUUAUAUUUAAAAUUUGUUAAUAAAAAAUAAUAUAAAAAAAAGAUUUCAAUAGGAUAGUUAAAAAAUUAGUCAUCUUCAUUAAAAUAUUCGUAUACAUUUACAUACAUAUAUAGAAAAAAUAGAUGCAAAACAAUAAUUUUAAUUAUUUUUAAUCAAACAUUCUAACAAUCCCUAUACUUCAACUUAUAUUUUAAUCUUAAUUGAAUGAAUUGAAACAUGAAUAAAAUUUUAACUUUUCAGUAGUAGAAAUAAUUAUUUUUUUAAUUAAUGAAAUUUUAAUUUUUGAAAAAAAAUAUUUUUCUUAUGCGGGCUGGCUCACAGGCCUGCGGGUUAUUUCUUAUGUGGGACGAGUCAGUGAAAUGAGUCCGCACUUGUUGUAUGGGGCGUGCUAACACAGUCCGCAUUUUGUGGGCCAAACGCAGGACGAGCCAACCCUCAUUGUCACCCCUAGUUUAUUUAAUUAUAAUCAAUCUUUUGUUCACUUAGUCAAGAGAUAAACGAUAAACAUUUCACAAGUAGAUGCUUGGAACUUGUGAGAUACUAAAUACAUCAGUAAACGAUUGUUUUGAUAAUAAGAUUAUGUUGACUUGGUUUGUUGAUAAGAUUCUAUUAAAUUCUAUUGACACUUGUUUGGUUAAGUUUGACAUUAUGUAAAAAUUGAAAAAAGUGAACAUCUUAAGAAAAUCAAUAAUAAAUUCAAUGUUGAAUGAACUUAAGAGUUGGACUGGAUUUUUUUUACUAUUUUUCAAUUAUGUACUUUAUUUUUCUACACAAUAAUCUCAAUCUUUUUAUUUUCAUUAUUUUUUCUCACCAUUUUGAUUGCAAAUAAGUUUUGAAUGCUAUCUUAACUAGAUUCAGUAGUGGAUUUGUUGGAAGAUGACUUGGAGUCAUCUAACCUUAACUACACUAUCAUUUUUCUAUGAUAUUCGACGAUUUACGUGAAUCAUUUUAAUUUCACCACUAAAUGAUAGUUAUCACAUAUCAAUGCUUAUUUAUAGAUUAAAAUAAAAUCUUAUUUUAAAUUUUGUAUAAAAUAAUUUCAUACAAAUAAAACAACAUACUAAUGUACAUAUUAAAGAAUCACCACACUAAAGUAUCAUAAAAAUGAAAUAAUUCCCCUUUAAAUUUUUUUAAAUCAGCAUACCAAUGUUAUAAGAAAAAAUUCAAAAUAUAAUUAUUAAAUAUUGAAUAUUUAUCCUCAAAUGUGAAAAAGGAAAGUUCAAUGAAGACACCAAAGAAAAAUGAAGAUGAAAAACGAUUAACCUUCACAAUGGUGAAGAGAACAAAUGGUAAGUCUUCACAUUUUACGACAAUAUCAACAAUCAUAAUCAAUAGAGACAACAAAGACCACAACUAUCACAAGAAAAAUAACAAUAAUAAUAAUAAAUGAGACAAAAAAUAUUAUAUUUAUUUUAGUGUAUUGAAAAUAAUAUAAUUUUACCAUAACUUAUUUUUUAAAUUGAAUAUUAUAUUUCCUCAUCAACCUCAAUAUGUAAUAAGGAUAAAUCUAAACAAUGAUAGUAGUAUGUAAAUAAUGACAAAUUUUUUGUAGUUAGAAAAAAAAUCAACUAUAAACCGCAAUGAUUGUUUUAUUGAUAAAAUCUUUAAAUUUUUGUAUAAUAUUGUAUAUCUAAAAUAUAAAAAUAUAUUUAACUAUUUUUUAAAGUUAUAGAAUUAAGAUUGAAAUAUUGAUAAUAUUUAAUAAUUAGUUAAACUUUUUUCUUUACAUAAAGCUUCCACACUUCUUUCAUUUCACAUUCUCAAAAGCAAAUACAAAACCUGUUAAAUAGGCAACAAGAAAAAAAAAAGGAGAAAUAACUGCGAAAGUGUAUUUAAUUAUUAUUGAUUUCUAGUUUUGAACGAAAUCUUAUUAAUUUAAAAACUAAUAAGAAACUAAUUAAGGGUAUGUAAUUUGUAAAAGUUUAAUUAUAAUGAUGAAAAUGUUCAAAUGAAAUGAAUUUAGUUAUAUAUAAAACCAUUGAAAAUAGUAUUAUUUUUACUAUGAAUUCAAACGAGUUUAAUCAACAAUGUAAAUUUCUUUAUUUCUUAUCUAAUAUAAAAUAAUAUUUUUAUAUAACCAAUUUAAAUUGAUUGGCUUAAUAAUUUAUAUACAUAAUUGUGAUAAUCGAAUUUAUGAUAGAUUAAUAUUGAAGUUAAAAUAAUGAUUUGAUCUAAUAGAAAAAGAAGCAUCUAAUUUAUUCUAUUCUUGAACUUUAAAAUAGAUAUUAUAAUUGACACUUAGGACCUCAUCUUAGAAAAGCGAGCCAAAUAAUUUUUUCCAAAAAUAACAAUGAAAAGUAGUAUUAAAAAAUAGGAAAAACAAAGUUUAAGAAAAUAUAUAAUUUAUAUUUGAUUAUUAAAAAGACUUGGGUCAACGGUUAUUGUUUUAUAUUUUUUCAUUUAAUAGAAACUAAUUUAAAUUUUUUUUUUAGUUUUUAAAACGGUCUUUUUAAUUUAGUAACUAAUUAUUUGAUAUCUAAAAUUGAUUUUUAUUUAAUUUUGUAGUGCAUUGAAAAAUAAAUUUUUUAAAAAAAGUAAAUAUUUACCUCUUAAAAUAAUGAUAUAUUCUUUCUCUAACAAUAUUUUCUUCAUAGUAAAUUCAAAUCUUAUAUAAGACAUACUAAAAUAGCGUGGCCUUAAUUUUUAUUUAAGACUUUAUUUUAUAAGAAAAAAUAGGGAAAGCAAAUAGGGAAGACCAUACGGGCCGUUCUGUGGCCCACUAGUAAAAAAUACGGGGUGGUUGUAGUUUUUCAACUCGCUAACUCGCUUUAUCUCGUCCCGCAUAAUCCCAGUCUGGACAGGGUAGGCUGGCCCGCUAGCCCGCAAAAAGAAUUAUGUAUUAAUAGGUUUUCAUUUUCCAUUCAUAUUCAUUCAUUCCAAAGCUAUUUUUAAUGUUUUUGAAAUAAAAGAAUAUUAAUAUUUGAUUUUUAUCUUCAUUGAAUUAUUGAUGUUAAACUAUGUUUGAAAUGGAAGAAAAAAAUAUUGAUGUUUGAUAAUGGUAAAUACAAGUUCAAUUUAACAAUUUUUCAAAAACAAAAAAUAUAAAUAUUUUUAUUAAAUUUCUAAAAAAAAAAAAAAUGAACCGUUGACCCACAAACUUGCGGACGGACUCUUAUAUGGGACAGAAUAGAGAAUCCAUUCAUUACUCGACCGACCCACUUUGCCAUCCUAAAAAAAAGUGAGCCGAACAAUUUUUUCGAAAAUAACAAUGCAAAAGUAGUUUUAGAAUGGAAAAGAAAAGUUUGAGAAAAUAUAUAAUUUAUAUUUUAUUAUACAUUAAAAUUGGUUAGAAAGUUAAGAUAAAAGUUAAAAGGGUAACUGAUACUGGAUGCCAAACAAUCAGCCACUAGCUUAAAAUCAAUUAACUCUAGCAGAAAGUUUUUAAACAAGAUUAUUAAAUUAUAAAUACUUGAUUAAAUUAUCUUCAUAAUCAUAAAUAUAGAAUUAUAGAAAUAUAUAUAAGUUCAUACGGUACUUCAUAUAAAUUAUAUUUUUAUUUUAUUUUAUUGUUAAAAAUUUAUUUCCGAAUAUUUAUCAUUUUAAUUUUUAACUAGUCUUAAACUUUUAUAUUUUCUAUUUAAAAAUCAAUCAUUUUAAUUAUAUUUUUUAUAUUGUGUAUUCUAUCAUUCAUAUGACGUAAUAUUGUAAAAUAUUUUCAAACAAAAUUUUAAACAAGAAAAAUAUCAUAUUUUUAAAUAGACACACGUAUUGUGUUACUCGGUUAAAAACAUUUUAAUAUGAAAAAAUAGUGUCCAUCAGAGGUUAAUAUUUUAAAAUUUAUUAGUAAACUAAUGAAAUGAAUAUUGUGAAUAGUAUAAUCAUUAAAAUAAGUAGUGUGAUAUAAAAAUAUUAGAAUGAGAAUUACAUUACAUAAUAUUAUUAUUAUUGAUAUGUAUUAUUAUUAUUGAUAUGUUAUGUGGUAAAAAGGUAAAUCAAUACAUAAAAUAAUUGAAACUGAAAAUAGAAAAAGCAAGUGUAUAAAUUAGUUGAUAACAGAUUAAAAAAAAAACUAAAUGAUAUACUACAUAUGUUAAUUAAUUUAUUUUGGUUAAUUAUUAAGGACACACUAAAUUCAUUAAAGGGUUUAAACGAAAAAUAAAGGGUAAAAUUGAAAUUAAAAAAUAAGAAUGUUUCUUAAAAAAAGUAAUAGGGUAUUGGAUUAAUUUCCGCAAUAAUAUAUGACGCGUAAUCUCUGUUGGCAUGAAGGUCGUCGUCACCUAAUUUUUCCUUCAUUCAAACCUGCAAAGAAAUGUCUUCAAUCUUUUGCCCCUUUCACAUCAUGCUACCUACAAUUGUCUUAUUUUCUAAAAUACUUUCUAAAUUAAUUUAUAUUAUUCUUAAAUAGUUUUUAAAUUGGUAUCUAAUUAACAAUCAAGGUUUUAAAACUUUGGUUGCUAAUUAGAUACCAAUUUAGAAACUAUUUAACAAUCAUAUAAAUUAAUUUAGAAAGUAAUUUUUUUUUAAUUUUUAAAGUGGUCUAUAAUUUAGUUAUUAUUGUGACUAAUUAUUUUAGUAUCUAAAAAUUGGUUUAUAUUUCAUGAUUUUCUUUUUAGUGUAAGCACCCGAUAAAACAAUGGAAAGAGACUUCAAUUUCAAUUGGAGCUUGUAGCCACAUACUAAAGAAUAUCUAAAUAUGUAUAAGGGAAAGUGGGUUCAAGAGUUUUGGUUUUAAAUUUGCAUCAGAAGCUUCCCCUUAAGUACAUAAUGGCACCUUCCACUCAUUUUCCCUUGAAGUAUUUACUUUUAUGAGAGUAGAACAGUGUUCAGUUUCUUUCCACGUUAUUAGAUGCAAUGAAACAACAUAUAUACCCUACCAAUUUCUCAUCAUUAAUAUCUUAUAUGCACAAUUUACAUACAAAAACUAAUUAAUAUACUAAAUAUGUUAAUUAAUUUCUUCCUUUUGGUUAAUUAAUAAGGUCACACUAAAUUCAAUAAAAGGUUUAAACAAAAAAUAAAGGGUAUACUCAAUUCAAAUUCAAAAAUAACAAUGUUUCUAUAAAAAAGUAAUAGGGUAUUCGAUUAAUAUUCUUAAAUGUAAAUUCUUUUUAAAUAUGCAAUAAAAUGAUAUGGUAUUUAAAUGAAUAAUUAAGAAAAAUUACAAAAAAAAAGCACGAUCUUAAAAAUCAUACAAAUUUUAAUGAAUUAUUUAUUUUAUUGAACUUUUGUAAAAUCUGCAUGGUUUUUUUAUUUAUAUGUGUAAUUGUCAUUCUAUAAAACAGUUCCAUUUUUAUAUACUCAUUCAAACUUUUUCUCAAUUUCAACUAUGAUAAAGUAGAACUUUCUCUUCCAUUUUUUUUAUUUACAUAUAAGUAAUUGUAUUGCAUUAUUUUUCUGAAUUGUGAUUUUCUACAAACAAUUCUUAGAUUAUUAUUUUUAUUAUUAUAUAUGAUUGUUCGUUAAAUAAAAGUAAAGUUUUUUUAAAAAAAAUUUAGUCUGUAUACAUAUACUGUUAAAUCAACACCUUGUUUCUCUUAGAUUUUUUAAUUUUUAAACUUUUUAAAAAAUAUGUAACACCCAACACGGUACAAUAAAAAAUAAAUUUGUAAUUAGAUAAUAUAAAAAAUAUUAAAUUAAUAUUAUUAGAAAUGAUAAAAUAAUUAUAUAAAAAAUGUGAAUUCUCAUUAUAUCAUUAAUUAUCCGAAGCCAUGUAAUUUCAUUUAAUGAGCAAUAUGCAAUUACAUGUUUUAUAAAUAUUCCAACAACUUUUAAACUACUUUUAAAAUGAAUGGAAGGUUGUGGUUGAUGCAAACUCAGUGCAAAAAUAAAACCAGAUAUUUUUUGUAAAAUAUCUUAAUUUAAUCUAAAAACCAAUAUAAAACCUCUUUUACGUUUGUUAUUAUAAUAAGUUUUUAAUUAAAAAAAUGUAAGCAUUCUUAUUUCCCUUCAUCUUCUUCUCCUCUUACAUUCAUUUAUUUACAUAUCUAAAACCAUAUAAUACUAGUUCGUUCAUUAUCAUUUUCUCAUUUAUAAUUUUAUAUCUAAACAAUUCAAAAAUAUGAUAUUUGUUAAGAGACUAUUUUAAAUAUAAAAUUUUAUCCACUAAUUUAGUAAAACAAUUAUGUAUAACUUUCCAUAAAAAUUUUAAAAAUAUAAAAAUUAUUUAUAUGUAUAAUUGUCAUUCUAUAAAACAAUUCCAUUUAUAUACUCAUUCAAACUUUUUCUCAAUUUCAACUCUGAUAAAAGUAGAAAUUUAUCUUCCAAUUUAAAUCUUUUUUUUAUUUACAUAUAAGUAUUGCAUUAUUUUUCUGAAUUAUGAAUUUUUACAACAAUUUUUAGAUUACUAUUUUUAUUAUUAUAUAUGAUUGUUCGAUAAAUAAAAUAAAGCUUUUUUUUUUUAAAUUUAGGAUGUAUACAUAUAGUGUUAAAUCAACACCUUGUUUCUCUUAAGUUUUUUUAAUUUUAAACAUUUUUUUAAAAAUAUGCAACACUCAAAUAUGACUUUAGUAAGGAAUGAGACUUAAAGAGAGAGUUUGUGUAGUAAAUAAUUAUUUAUAUGAGGUUAAAAUUACACAAAACUUCAUCCACAAAACAAUCUAAAGUGAGGUUUAAAACCGAAUUUUGAACGGAGUUUUAUAUUUUUAUUUAAAAAUAUUAAAAAAUAGUUUUAAAUUUUCAAAAUGAAAAAUAUUAUCUUAAAAAAAAAUAUUUUAAAUAAAAUUAUGAAAAAAUAUAUGUUUGCAAAAAUAAAAAUUUAGAAAGAUAAUUAUAUUAAGAAAUAAUAUUUUAGAAAAAUAAAUAUUUAAUACCUCUUUAAAUAGUGAUAUAUACUUUCUCGAACAAUAUUUUCUUGAUAGUAGUGAAUACUUCCAAUCUCAUAUAAGACAUACUAAAAUGGCGUGGCCUUGAAUUUUAAGACUUUUUUUUUAUAAGAAAAAACGAUCGAAACAUUUUUUUUUUCAAAAAUAAAAAUGAAAAAAGUAGUUUUAAAAAUAGGAAAAAGGAAAGAUUAAGAAAAUAUAUAAUUUAUAUUUUAUUAUGUUAAAAGAGAAUAACUUAUAGAAAGAUAAGGAAAUUGGGAGAAAUUUGAGUGUUUAUUGAAGAAUUAAAUUAGGUAUUAUAUAAGGCAGCGGAGAAACCUAAAUUAUUACACACUAAUAAUUUAAAAAUGAUAUCCAAAUAUAUAUUAUGAAAAAUGGUUCCAAUAAAUAAUUUAAAAAGACUUGGGGUCAACAGUUAUUGUUUUCUAUUUUUCCACUGAUUUUGGAUAUUUUAAAUUUUUUAUUAUUAUCAUUUACAAUAAUUUAAAAAAUUAUUUGUUUCAGAUAUUUUAUUUAAGUAGGAUAUUUAAUAAUUUAAGAUUUGUAUUCGCUUAAAAUUUUGAAUAAUUUAGGAAUUUUAUUUAUUGUGAAUCUUUAUUUAAAUAUGAAAUUUAAUAAUUUAAUAUUUAUAUUUACUUAUAAAUUUUAAUAAUUUAGGUAUUUUAAUUUUUAAAAUUUUUUAUUUAAGUAUGAUAUUGAAUAAUUUAAUAUUUGUAAUUUUUUAAAAUUUUAAAUAAUUUAGGAUUUUUUAUUUAAGUAUGAUAUUAAAUAAUUUAAAAUUUGUAUUUGUUUAAAAUUUUGAAUAAUUUAGAAAUUCGAUUUAUUUUAUAUUUUAUUUAAUUAAAAUAUUAAAUUAUUUAGAUUUUGUAUCUAUUUAGGAUUUUGAAAUUAAAAAAAAAUAUAAUUUAUUUUAUAUUAUUAUUUAUAUAGGAAAUAAAAUAAUUUAGAAUUUAUUUUUAUUUAGAACUUGGGAAAACAUAGAAGUUUAAUUAAUUUAGAUUUUUAUAUAAGAAUGUCAUUAAAUAUAAUUUGAGAAUUUAUUUGAUUGUCAAUUUUUAUUGAAGAAUGAUAUUAUAUUUUUUGGGACUUAUAUUUAUUUAGGAUUUUAAAAACUUAUAAAUUUUAUUUAGUUUUAAUUUUUAUUUAAGUAGGAAAUAAAAUAGUUUAAGAUUUUGUAUUUAUUUAGGAUUUUAAAAAACUUAAAAAAAUUUAUUUAUUUGAUAUUUUUAUUUAAGAAUGACAUUUAAUUAAUUAGAAUAUGUAUUUAUUUUGAAUAAUUUAACAUUUUAAAAAGAUAGAAAUUUUAUUUAUUUUUGAUAUUUUUAUUUAAGUAUGUCAUAAAAUAAGUUAGGCACCGGAGAAAGCAAUGGCUUGUAGCUUGCAACCACACACUAAAUGAUAUCCAAAUAAUUUAAAAAGACUUGGGCUCAAGAAUUGUUGUUUUAUAUUUUUCCAUAUAUAUGUGUCAAAUUGAUAUAUAUAUAUAUAUAUAUAUAUAUAUAUAUAUAAUAUAUUUAUUUAUUUAUUUAUUUAUUUAUUGCUGCUUGGAUGAAAUAGACUAAAUAUAUAUCUUACCAAUUUCUCAUCACUCGUAAUAACAACGUAUUAAAAAUUAGAAUAUGAUAAUGAAAUGACUUUAAUUUAGUGGUUAGAGGUAUCUGGUUAGUGGUCCUAAGUUUAAGUCUCACCUACAACAAGAUGGUAAUAAUAAUAUAUUCUAAUAAUUAGAAAUAAUAAUCGUGAAUGAUAAAUAAUAUUUUUAAAUUAAUAAUAAUUAAUAACACUAAUAAUUAUCGACAGAAUAUUUUAUUGGUAUAUUUAUCGAUAGAAUAUUUUUCGUCAAUAAAUUUAUCGACAAACAUAUUAUUAGUAAAUUUUUGUCUGUUUUUUUUCAUCGGUAAUACAUGCUUACCAUCGGAUUUUUAUCUUAUCUAUGGAUAAGACUGUUGAUAAUAUGUUUUUUUUUAGUAUGUGAAACUUUUAUCAUUAGUCCAUUCAUUUCUUACUUUUAAACUGAAUAAUCUUAAAGUUGCUAACAAUCUUGUGAAGUUAUUGAAUAUUGGAUAAUUGUUUCUCCAAAUCAAGCAUCAAAGAAUCAUACACAUGUAUUUUUCCAAAAUUUUGUUACAACAAUCAUGUAUCAUUUCCUUUAAAUUAUCGUUUAUCCCUUCUUUAAUAUUUUUUAUCGUCAACAUAAUUUGAGUGACUAAUAUUUUUUCAUGUCGUAAAUAGCUCUUAACAAUAUCAAAGAUAAAUCGAUGAUAAUUAUAAUAUCACAACUAUUAUAUGAUAUGAAUAAUUGUUAUUUGAUUCUUUGAUUUCUUGAAAUUAUAUCAUGCUUGUUAUGAUGUGUUGUAAUUUUUUCUUUUGUUUGCAUUGUAUUCCUUUUAUAUCUUUUGAGUCCAUAAAGUGUUUUUCCAUGACUGCAAAAGGAUGAGUAUGACGGUAUUUGAUAAGCAUAUAUUUACUCACACUUAAUAGUUUUAAUCAUAGAUGUCUUUGACUAAAAUCAUGUAUAACUCUACUAUUUUAAGUAAGAUUCAUCUAACUUGGUACAUUGGAUGGUCUAAUAAGAGCGUUUGCUAAAGAGUUUUAAGGAAGUUUUUAUCUCUACAAGUGGGUCGAAUAUGCGAAAGUCCAAGUUACUUCUUUGAGUCAAAAUGAGAAAAAAAAAUCUCAGGGGAAGAAUUAGAGAAUAAAAUCUAAUAUAUCAUAAAUAGAAUUGGAAGUAAAUCUUCUGCAAAAUACAAUAAAAAACAUAGUUCACGAUGAAAGUGAAAAUAAAAUUUAGGAAUUCUGCAAAAGUUGAAAACUUAAAAUUCGAUGCAAUAUCUAAACUGAUAUAUAUUUUUGAGAUCCUUGGAACAAAGAAACCUACAAAAGGAUGUAAGCUUCAAGGAGAAAUGGGAAAGCUUCAAAACUCAACACAAUGCAUUCAAAAAACAGAGCAUUAGAGUUUUCUUAGGUUUUAUUUGUUUUUCUUCAUUAUAAUUCUUUCGUUUACCUUCAUAUGGAAGGUUAAACUCAUUCAUGUUUAUUCUCUUGUGAUUUUGCAGUGAAUUUUGAGAUUUGUGUUCAAUAAGGUUUUAUUCUUAAAUUCUAUGUAGCAAUUCAUGUAAAAAGGUUUGGUCUUUUUUAAUUUCGAUUUUUGUUAAAGAAUUGUCUUUGAACAAUUGUUAAGAAUUUUGUUAUUUUCUUUAAUUGGAGUUUUUGGUUAGUUUAUUUUAGGGAUAACAAUGCAGAACAAGUCAUGUGGGUUAGACCGCAGUCCGCUACCAAAAACUGCAGGACGAGCUUACUAAUAUAGCCCGCUGACCCGCCCGCAUAACCUGCAACGGGGCAAGGCGGGGCGGGUUGGCCCACUGGCUCGCAUAAAUAAAAAAUUUAUUAUUAUUUGUUUAGUAUAAAAAAAAUCAUACCUCAUUCACCCAUUAUUGCAAUGACAUUUAUUUUAUUUUAUUUUAAAAAAAUUGAAUUUAAUGUACUAAAAAAAGAAUGUUUUAUUUUAAUCAUUUAAAAGAGUUAGUUUUUUUUUAUCAACAAUAAAAAAAAACACUUUAGGGUUGAUCCAACCCAUGUAAAAAAUUGCACAGAAACAAACAACCUCUCCUCCCAGAAGUUUGCUACUAACUUCCUGCUAGAACAAAUACAGUCUGACUAACUUAAAUAAAUCACUUAAGUUUAAUUGAAUACAUACAAACUAGGGGAUCUAGACACCAACAGAAAAGGAAAAACAAGAAGGGACUUUAGAGGUUACCCAGGACCAGACUUUUAGUUGAGCCAUGAAGUUAGUAUGAAGAGUGACAGUGGAUUUAGUUUUAGGUAAAGUCUUAUAUUUAAAAUUUGUUAAUAAAAAAUAAUAUAAAGAAGAGAUUUCAAUAGGAUAGUUAAAAAAUUAGUCAUCUUCAUUAAAAUAUUCGUAUAUAUUUACAUACAUAUAUAGAAAAAAUAGAUGCAAAACAACAAUUUUAAUUAUUUUUAAUCAAACCUUCUAACAAUCCCCAUACUUCAACUUAUAUUUUAAUCUUAAUUGAAUGAAUUGAAACAUGAAUAAAAUUUUAACUUUUCAGUAGUAGAAAUAUUUUUUUUUAUAAUUAAUGAAAUUUUAAUUUUUGAAAAAAAAAUAAUUUUCUUAUGCGGGCUGGCUCGCAGGCCCGCGGGUUAUUUCUUAUGUGGGACGGGUCAGUGAAAUGAGUCCGCACUUGUUGUAUGGGGCGUGCUAACACAGUCCGCAUUUUGUGGGCCAAACGCAAGACGGGCCUAUGCGGGGCGAGCCAACCCUCAUUGUCACCCCUAGUUUAUUUAAUUAUAAUCAAUUUUUUGUUCACUUAGUCAAGAGAUAAACGAUAAACAUUUCACAAGUAGAUGCUUGGAACUUGUGAGAUACUAAAUACAUCAGUAAACGAUUGUUUUGAUAAUAAGAUUAUGUUGACUUGGUUUGUUGAUAAGAUUCUAUUAAAUUCUAUUGACACUUGUUUGGUUAAGUUUGACAUUAUGUAAAAAUUGAAAAAAGUGAACAUCUUAAGAAAAUCAAUAAUAAAUUCAAUGUUGAAUGAACUUAAGAGUUGGACUGGAUUUUUUUUACUAUUUUUCAAUUAUGUACUUUAUUUUUCUACACAAUAAUCUCAAUCUUUUUAUUUUCAUUAUUUUUUCUCACCAUUUUGAUUGCAAAUAAGUUUUGAAUACUAUCUUAACUAGAUUCAGUAGUGGAUUUGUUGGAAGAUGACUUGGAGUCAUCUAACCUUAACUACACUAUCAUUUUUCUAUGAUAUUCGACGAUUUACGCUUGAAUCAUUUUAAUUUCACCACUAAAUGAUAGUUAUCACAAAUCAAUGCUUAUUUAGAGAUUAAAAUAAAAUCUUAUUUUAAAUUUUGUAUAAAAUAAUUUCAUACAAAUAAAACAACAUACUAAUGUACAUAUUAAAUAAUCACCACACUAAAGUAUCAUAAAAAUGAAAUAAUUCUCCUUUAAAUUUUUUUAAAUCAGCAUACCAAUGUUAUAAGAAAAAAUUCAAAAAUAUAAUUAUUAAAUAUUGAAUAUUUAUCCUCAAAUGUGAAAAAGAAAAGUUCAACGAAGACACCAAAGAAAAAUGAAGAUGAAAAACGAUUAACCUUCACAAUAGUGAAGAGAAUAAAUGAUAAGUCUUCACAUUUUACGACAAUAUCAACAAUCAUAAUCAAUGGAGACAACAAAAACCAUAACUAUCACAAUAAAAAUAACAACAACUGAGACAAAAAAUAUUAUAUUUAUUUUAGUGUAUUGAAAAUAAUAGAAUUUUACCAUAACUUAUUUUUUAAAUUGAAUAUUAUAUUUCCUCAUCAACCUCAAUAUGUAAUAAGGAUAAAUCUAAACAAUGAUAGUAGUAUGUAAAUAAUGACAAAAUCUUUGUAGUUGAAAAAAAAUCAACUAUAAACCGCAAUGAUUGUUUUAUUGAUAAAAUCUUUAAAUUUUUGUAUAAUAUUGUAUAUCUAAAAUAUAAGAAUAUAUUUAACUAAUCACCAACAUAAAAAGUGUUGGCGAAGACUAUACGUAAAAUGCUACAAAUGUAAUUAACGAAUCAACGGUUACAUUUAUAAAAGAAAUACAAAUGUGAUAAGUUGUGGAGGAUAAAUUAAUAUAUAUAUAUAUAUAUAUUUUGUAACAUUAUGUUUUCUAAUCAACAAAUUUUAAAAAAAAAGAUUGAUUUAUAAUAGUGAUUGUACAAAUCAUAUGAUUAAUUUUUUUCAAAAAGCUCAACAAAUUUAAUAUUUUAAAGUAAGAAUUAAAAAUGAAGACCCAUUUAUUUUGGAAGAUAUAGAAACAAUUGCAAUUGAAAUUUAUUUAGGUAUCAAAUUACCUUUUAAUGUCUUGAUAUUAAUCUUUUGAUUUGUUAAUAGUUGUUCAACUUUAAAGAAAGGUUAAUAAAAAUAGAUUUGAUGAAAGAAAAGUUAACUAUAAAUGAAAAGAAUGAUUUAAAAUUAAAAAAAGAUGGAUAUUUCUUGAAGAAAUUUGAUGUCCAAGAAGAAAAACUAGAAAAAAAAAACACAUUUUAACAUCAUCAAAGAUUUCAAUGUUACUACCAUGAAAUGAGAUUAAUAAAAAAGAAAUAUAAUGAAAGAAUUAAAUAGAAAAAGAAAGAAAAAUGAAGCACUAAAAAAAGACAAUUAAAUCUUGAAUUUAAAAUUCAAAUAAAGAGCUAUUAAGAUAAAGAAGAAUGUUAAUAUUUGCUUCAUUUUAUUUUAAUUAAUUUGUAAAUAAUCUUUUAAUUUUUUAAACGUUCUAUACAAAAUAUAAAAAAGGAAUUUAAUUAUUAUUAAUAUUCUAUUCGACAUAUAGAAUAUUUUACUCCAAGUAUAAAAUAUCAAAAUAAAAUAAAUAACAAAUUCUUUCAUAAUAAUAUAUAUAAUAAAAAUAAAAUAAAUAAGAACCUCAAAUAUUAUAUAUUUCUUAUAUCAUCAACAAAGCUAUUUAUUACAAUAAAGUAUCACGAUCUUCCUCUAGGAUGAGUUCAACCCCAUUGUUUGUUUCUAAAUUCCGUAGCGUGUCAUACAUUUGUUUCGAGCAUUCCCUUACAUUUACUCUUCUCAAGCCACUCAAAGACCAAAGUUCAUUUGGGAGAUCAUCUAAGCUUUCACAAUUGUAGAUGAUCAAACUUUGAAGCCUUGACAUUCCACCAUUGCCUAAUUUCCACUUUUCAAGACUCAAAUAUGCCAUUUCAAAAACUUCCAAUUUUGGGAAGCUGCCUUCCACACAAUUCAGGUCAAAGGAAUCCCCCUUAUAUAGAGGUCCCCAAAGUUCCAAAAUUUUGAGUUUGGUGAGAUUUCCCAAACCAUUCAUCCCCUCAUCAGUAAUGCGGUUAAUCUCUGACAACUCUAACUCCAUAACGUUUGGAGGAAAUGUGAAUGCACAAGUCAGAAGGUCAAAAACAUUUUCAAUAAUUAAGAAAGUUAUACAAUUGAACUGCCCUAGGCUUUGCAACAGUUCUUUCGGCUUGCAACCUUUGUCAUAAAUAUCCCAGAGGACAAUCUCUAACUUACUCAAAUGACUUGAUUGUUGUAGGCUUUGCAACAAUUUGGUUAUUUCAUCAUCUUUGUAUUCAGAAGUCACACACAACCUUAUCAUCUUAAGAUUGGGGAAUGUUCCUUUCUUUAUCAGAGAUGUUGCUUGUCUGUUGACUACGAGGUCAGAGAUGGUUUGAAGAUUCCACAUCUUCUCAUCUGAUCCUGAACAAUUGCCUCGUAGCUUGAUAGGCCCUCGUGCAUUCAAAUGCCUUAAAUGUUUAAGUUUCCACAUUUCGACUGGGAAAGAAAUUUCAGUCACAUACCUCCAAUUACUUAGGUCUAUGAUUUGUAGAUUCCAAAGGUGAAGUAUUGAAGAUGGAACAAAUGUAAAAUCAGAUGUUGCUUCAAUUCUCAAGUACCUUAAGUGGAUAAAGUUCCCUAAAUUAGAAAGGGUGCUAAGCCAGGUUGGUCCAAGCUCCAACACUCGAACCAAUUUGAAGUCUUUUGAAAGCCAUUUCCACUGCUUCCCAGUACCAAAGUCAUCUUGGCCAAAUAAGAACAGGGAUCGGAUACAUGAAUGAUCAUUGUUGCUCGAAGAAAUGUAAUGACCCACCUUACAGUGAAUGGAUAGUCUACGAGGUUUUGUCGGGAUUAGAAUGUUAUUGUCUGUGCAAAUUUCAAAAACUUUGUCCUCUUUACUCUCUGAUAUGCAGAGGUCUCGAAGAAGAUCAUGAACGUGAACAUCUCUAUUAGUCUUCCCUUUUGCUACUUGGACCAAACUACGAUCGAUGAGCUCAUACAAGUAGUCUUCAGCAACUUCAUCUGGAUCUCUAUUCCCUGUAUCUUGUAUAAAACCCUCGGCAACCCAUUUUUGCAAUAAUGGCGUAACAGGGAUUUGAAAGUCUUCAGGAAAUAUCCCAAGAUAGAGAAAGCAUGGUUUUAAUCUCCUUGGCAAGUUGUCAUAGCUGAGUUUGAGAACUAUAUCCUUCACUUGGGUAUGAUCUCGAGUGAGAUACCAAUUAACAUGACCCACCACUUUUGACCAUUCUCUGUGUGAUUUUUCCUUGUAGGCUAGCAGUCCUGCUAAGACAAUGAUGGAGAGCGGCAAACCACGACAACUUUGAACCAUUUGCUUUCCAAGAGCCUCCAAAUCAGAAGGGUAGUCUUCACCCCUAAACACUUUCCUGCAAAACAACUCCCAACUUUCUUCUUCACUCAGGAACUGCAGAUAGUAAGGAAGAUCAUGGGAAGUAUGCAGUGCCACCUCUUUCAAACGACUAGUGAUCAAUACUCUGCUGCCUCUGUUGUUGUCCGGAAAAACAUCUUGCACCUCGUCCCAAUCUUGCCUUUUCCACAGGUCAUCUACCACCACAAGAUAUGUUCUACUCUCCAAGCUGUUUCGCACCAGUUUCUUCAGCUCCUCCUCACUCAAGCUACUAUUGUCUUGAGUGCUUUUCUUUCCUUUCUUCUUGCCUCUGCAUUGUUGUUCAAAAUUUGGCAUCAAAUGCUUAAGAAGGCCAAGCAAAAGCUCCCUAACUCUGCACUCGUUUGACACAUAAACCCACGCUCGACACUCGAAGUGUUGCUGCACCUCGCUGCUGUUAUAGACCUUCCGAGCAAGGGUGGUCUUGCCCAAUCCCCCCAUGCCAAUGAUAGAGACAACUUUACGAUUUGAACCACCUUCCAAGAUUCGUUUGAUGAUAUCCUUGGAGUCAUCGACAAAGCCAACCACAUUUUCUUCCUCUACAUCUCUUCUUAGCUUGUGUAAUGAUUGCGCCCUUUCCUUCUCCUCCUCCUCUUCUGCUGCAGAUUGAUUAUUGAUUUCUUUGAAAGCAUCAUAUUUGUCCUUGUUGUCGCGUAUUUCGUUGAGAGUGGUUUUCAUCUUGUCUACUUUGUCGGCUACGUCAUGGAGCAACCUUACUUGGCCAAAGCCAUGAAGCAUCCUCCCGAGCAUGGUUCUCCUCUUGUAAAUGGCAACUUUGGCUACGAAAGUGUCGAUGACAUCCUCAGCUAGGUGGGCCACAUCUCUGAUUUGGUUCACCACUGUAUUUGAAAUUCCUUUCUUUCUCUUUGAGGUAUUGAGAAGUUCGUUGAUCAUUUGAAGCUCGUUCUGGAGGGACUGGACCCUGUCCUUCACGCCAUACAGCAAGUUAGCUUCACGUGCCACAAGCUCAGAUAAGUGAUCCAAAACAAAGGAAACUACACUGUCUGCCAUUACAGCAUAGACGUGCCUGCAGAUUUUGAUCUGUGCUUGGAUAAUGUGUUUGUGGUUGGUGAUGGAAGAACAACAAUGGAUUGUAGCUUGCAGCCACAUCCUAAGAUAUAUCUGAAUAUAUAUUAUCGAAAGAAAAGUGAUUGCAAUAAUUAAUUUACAAAGAAUAUCUGGUUUUAUUUUUGCAUUGACUUAGAGUCAGCCAUGAUUGUGGUUGAACUGAAGCUUCCACUCAUUUUCAAAGUUGAGUUGGAGCGCAUAUUGCUGAGUCAGAAUGCACCUUCCUGCUACGUGCAUGUCACCUUCUACUUUACUUUUAUGAGCCACGUUAUUAGAUGCAAUCAAACAACAUAUAUACCCUACCAAUUUCUCAUCAUUAAUAUCUUAUAUUCACAAUUUACAUACAAAAACUAAUUAAUGUACUAAAUAUGUUAAUAAUUAAUAUGAAAAGUGGUUGCAAUAAUUAAUUUAAAAAGACUUGGGGUCAAGAGUUAUUGUUUUAUAUUUUUCCAUUGCUUUUUCGUCCACAAUGAAUAAAGUUUUACCUUCCACUCAUUUAAGUUCACAUUGCAGCUUCGUGGUAUGUGCAUUGCACCUUCUACUCAUUUGUCAAAUUGCAAUAUAAUAUUUCCACGUUGAGAGUGCAAUAGAAUAAUAUAUGUGUAAAUCAUUGAUAUGCUUUUCCACAUUUUGUGACUACUUAAUUCUUCUAAGCCACACUGUUUCAUAUCUUAUCGUCCAAACCAAUCAAAAUUACAGAGACACAGUCCAACCUCUCUCUCUCUCUCUUCUCUCUCUCUAUAUAUAUGAAAAUUUAAGAAACAGUAAAAAGAUCACUGAAUAUUAAAAAUCAUACAAAUUUUAAUGAAUUGUUUAUUUUAUUGAUUGAAUUUUAUAAAAUUUGCAUGAUUUUUUAUUUAUAUAUAAUUGUCAUUAUAUAAAACAAAUUCUAUUUAUAUACUCAUUCAAACUUUUUCUCAAUUUCAACUCUGAUAAAAGUAGAACUCUAUCUUCCAAUUUCAAUCUUUUUUUUAUUUAGGCAUAACUAAUUGUAUUGCGUUAUUUUUCUGAAUUAUGGUUUUCUACAAACAAUUUUUAGAUUAUUUAUUAUUAUUGUUAUUAUAUAUGAUUGUUCGAUAAAUCAAAAUUUUAUAUAAGACUCUACAAUCAUUCUAUGUAAAUCAUUAGUAUAGGUCAUAAUAUUUUUUUUUGGGUAGAUUUUAUCUAUAUAUAUAGAUUAUGUAAUUAAUAAUUGAUUUCACAAGCUGGGAUAAGUGAUCUAAAACAAAGGAAACUACACUGUCUGCCAUUACAGCGUUGAUGUGUAUGUAGAGUUUGAUCUGUGCUUUGAUGGUGUGUUUGUGGUUGGUGAUGGAACAAGAGAAAGCAAUGGAUUGUAGCUUGCAACCAAACACUAAAGGAUAUCGAAAUAUAUAUUAUGAAAGUGGGUGCAAUAAAUAAUUUAAAAAGACUUUGGUUCAAGAGUUCUGGUUUUAUAUUUUGUUAUAGAUUUAGCGUGAACCACGAAUAAUGAAAAGUCUCUGCAAUAAAUAAUUUAAAAAGACUUGGGUUCAAGAAUUCUUGUUUUAUAUUCUUCUAUAGGUUUUGCGUAAACCAUGAAUAAUGGAAAGUGUGGGUGCAGUAAAUAAUUUUAAAAGACUUGGGUUCAAGAGUUCUUGUUUUAUAUUUUUCCAUUCAUUUUUCGUCAACCAUAAAUAAUCUCUAUAGAAUUCCAUAUAUAUAGAGAUUCUAUUAUAGUAUUCUAUUAAAAGAACUUCUUAUAAUAUUCAAUCAAGAUUAUAUAAAUUAUUUUUAAGAAUGCAUUAAAAUCAUAUGAUAUUUAAAUUAAAUUUAAGAAACAGUAAAAAAAGCAUUGAAUAUUAAAAAUCAUACAAAUUUUAAUGAAUUGUUAUUUUAUUGAUUUUUUCUAUAAAAAUUGCAUAUUUUUUAUUUAUAUAUAAUUGUCAUUAUAUAAAAAAAAUCCAUAUAUAUAUACUCAUUCAAACUUUUUCUUCAACUCUGAUAAUAGUAGAACUCUAUCUUCCAAUAUUUCAAUAUUUUUUGCUUUACAUACAAGUAAUUGUUUGCGUUAUUUUUCUGAAUUAUGGUUUUCUACAAACAAUUACUUAAUUUUGUUAUUAUUAUAUAUUAACUACCAAUUAUUUAUAUUUUAAAUUUGAUAGAAAAACCUUGAUUGCUAAUUAGUACCAAUUUAGAAACUAUUUAACCUAAUAAAAACUAAUUUAUAAACCAAAUUUUGUUUAGUCUCUAAAAUAAUCUUUAAUUUAGUCAAUAUAACAACUAAUUAUUUUUUUUCUAAAAAUUAGUUUCUAUUUCAUUGUGUUUUCUUAUAGUAAAAAAAGAAUUCGUAUAAAAUUUAGUUAUUCAUAUCAGGUUAAAAUUACACAAAAGUUUUCUCUAAACAAAUCUAAAGUGAGGUAUUGACUCUACACUUAUUUACGUGCACCUCCAAACAUAUAAAAACGUUACUUACAAACGCAAUCCAAACAUAAAAAUUUAAUGAAAUUUAAUGAAAGACAUAAAAAAAAAUAGUUCAUCCACUUUAUAAUAUGGUUAUUUGCCUAUAUAAUAUUUUAAGAGAUUUUUUGUUUUUCCACUUUUAUGAGUAGUUAAUCUAUCUAGCUACAUGUUUAUUUAUACCUUUAGGAGAAACAAUAAAUUUAAAAAAUAUGUUUUUUUUGUUAAGAGCACUUAAGGAUGAAAAUAAUUAUAAAUUUUAUUUAUUUAAUUAUUUAUCUAUUUAUGUUGGAUUGUGACUUAUUUGUAUAAAGUAAGAUGAAGAUUCAUGAAAAAAUUAGUAUUCUUAAAUAUGACAUUACUUACUUUUAAAGAGUUCUUAUUAGGUAUGACAAUACGAGAUGGGUCAUGCAGGUCCGUCCGUAAUCCACUAACAAAAGGCGUGGGUGAAUUCAGUAAUUUUACUCGCCAACCCGUUUAAGCUUCCCACAUAAAGCACAACCCGCGUGGGUCAAUAGUGGGAUAGGAUGGGCUGACCCGCUGAUCUGCACACAAACAAAAUGUAAAGUUGUGUAUUUAUGUCAAACACCAAUAUUUGAAUAGAUUCAAAAUAUAGAAAGAGAAACAUGUCAAUAAUAUUUUUUCAAAUUUGACUAAACUAGUUGAAUCAUCAUUUCAUUUCUUUCUUAUGAUGUAUGGUGGGAGUAUGAUCAUAUUUUAUAAAUAUAGAAAGAAAGAAAAAUCAACAAUGUUUCUUCAAAUUGGAUUAAACUAGUUAAACCAUCAUUUUUUUUCUGUUUAUUAGAAUCGUAUUUUAUUUUGUAUAAUGACCAUUUAUUUUGUAUGAUGACUAGGUUGAAUCAUUAAUUUUAAUUAUAUGUUUAUUUUAUAUUAUCCGAUAAUGUUUUAAUUUUGAAAUUGAAUUGGAAUGAAUGAGAAAUGUAUUGGAUAGUGUCUUUGUGGUUGGUAAUGGAAAAAGAGAAACCGUGAUUUACAUAGGACUGGUGAUAAUUUAAAAAGACUUGGGGUCAAGAGUUAUUGUUUUAUAUUUUUCCAUUGAUUUUUCGUCAACCAUGAAUAAUGAAAAGUGGAUGCGAUAAAUAAUUUAAAAAGACUUGGGUUCAAGAAUUCUUGUUCUACAUUUUUCUAUAGAUUUUGUGUGAACCGUGAAUAUUGGAAAGUGGGUGCAGUAAAUAAUUUAAGAAGACUUGGGUUCAAGAAUUCUGGUUUUAUAUUUUUCCAUUGAUUUUUCGUCAACAAUGAAUAAUGUUGAACUGAUUUAAGUUCACAUUGCACCUUCUACUCAAUUGCCAAAUUGCAAUAUAAUAUUUCCUCCUUCACGAGAUGCAAUAGAAUAAUAUAUAUACUUUAAAUAUAUAUUGCUUGGUGGUUGGAUAAAAUAGACUAAAUAUAUAUAUCCUACCAAUUUCUCAUCACUCAUAUCUAAUAUUCACAAAUAACACAUCAAAACUUAUCAAUAUACUAAAUAUGUUCAAAAAUAUUAUUUUGGUUAGUUAAUAAGAUCAAUUGAAGUUUAAAAAUACUAUUUUUUCCAUAAAAGCUACGUAUUAUAGUAUUCAAUUAAAUAAAUUCUUAUAAUAUUCACACUACUACAAGAAAAUAAGUAAAUAGAAAUUAAUUUUAUAGACCAAAAUAAUUAGUUAUUAUUUGACUAAAUUAGAGAUAUUUUAUAAACUAAAAUAUUAUUGUUAUCCAAAAUAGUUUCUAUUAUUAAUAAAAAAUUAUAAAAUGGUUAAAUACCAAUUUAGAAAUCAUUUAAAAAAAAAUUAAUAAUAGAAAAUUUUUUAGAUAUGAAUAAUUUUUUAGUAUCUAAAUUAGUAUAUAAUUUAAUCAAUACAGUAACUAAUUAUUUUUUAUUUCUAAAUUUAGUUAUUAUUUAAUAAUUUUCUUAUAAUGUAUAUAUUAUAUAUUAUAUAUUUAUAUAUAUAAUACAAUUGAAAUCAGGUUAAUAUAUUUUCUUUAACUUUUUAGGUUUAUCUCACUUACAUUGUUUCAUUGAAAUACGUCGUUUCAUUAAAAAAAAGUCAUCUACUCCUAUACUGGUAUGGCCGACCGACAUGCUGACGUGUCUUGGUCAUCCUGACCGAACUGAUCGAGACACCCACGGACGGUCUGGCUGACCGACACAUAUAACCAUUAACGCUCAAACCAAGGUCAGUGAAGCUAAACUAUCAUUAAGAAUUAUGUAAUGCAACCAUAAGUGUGAUCCAUUCCACUAAUCAGGUCCAAUGAGAUAAGCCCAUUAAAAUAAUAUAAAUAGCACACAUUCCAAGGAACAAGGUACGUCAUUAUUACUAUACACCUACCAGAGUGUCGAACGUCCUCUUUACUGACUUGAGCGUCGGAGUGCCUAUUGCAGGUACUUCCCCCAUUUGGCAUUCACCCGAGACUGAGAGCCGAAGGAGUAGCAUGAAGGCGAGAAGGAUCCCAACGACACCCUAGCAACUUGCUCGAGGAAAGGAGGAAGACAAAGACUUCAAUAGCUCUUUAGGUCUCAUCUCCCUAGCAGGAACAAUUGGCGCCCACCGUGAGGCCGAGAGAAAAUAGAUGGUCUCAACCAGAAGCAUGGAAAGGAUGACUGAUGCCGACCAGACAUUGUUGUUGUCUCUGUAGAGAGAGAUGGCCGAGAUGAAUAGGAGGACAGAGGAAGCUGUCCAGAAGAACGAACAAGAGAUGCAGGCUCUCCGAAGGGAGAAUGAAGAGAUGAAGAAGAAGCUGAUGGAGGGAGGACUGUCCACUGGGCCGACCAAUGUCGUCGACAGGUCCUUCACCUCUCCUCCCACAUCGAGACCGGUAGAGGAGACAAGAGACAAGGUUCCCACCCACGAGAUGGAGGGAGAAUCUUUUAUCAACAAGUCGGUCAGGACGACCAUCACCAUGGACUUGGUCCGCCGACACCCAUUCACCAACCCUAUCAUUGAAGUCCCACUACCAGACAAGUGGAAGGAUUUCAACCGAGAUCGAUAUGACGGGUCUACCGACCUGGACGAGCACAUGGAUGCCUACACCACCCAUAUGAGUCUCUACACCUCAGACGAUGCAGUGUUGUGUCGAGUGAUUCCCUCAUCGCUAAAGAGAGCAACCCUUAGCUGGUUUACCAAGCUCCCACCUAACUCCAUUGAUAGCUUCGCCACACUCGUGACGAAGUUCGAGACUCAGUUUGCCACCAGCAGGUCACACAACCUGACCUCCAUCGCCCUGGUACGCAUCCGCCAAGAGAAGGGAGAGUUGUUGAGAACCUUUGUUGAUAGGUUCAACAAAGUGGCAAUGAGCAUCUGGAACCUCAGCCCAGACGUUGUGUCAUGCAUCACAUGCUGGCAGCCCUGCGCCCAGGACCCUUUGCUGACAACCUGUGCAUGCAAUCAGUCGCCAGCUUGGACGAGAUGAGGAAGAAAGCCGCCAAGUAUAUGCAGCUGGAAGAGCUCAGAGAAUUCCGCAACCAGGCCCGUGCCGAGGCUAAUGGAGAGAAGAACAAGGAAGAGAAGGACCGCCAAGGCCGAUUAGGCCAGCGGGGUGACAGACGCAGAGAUAAUAGAGAUCGAGCAAUCUGAUUCUCGAGAUACACACCUUUGACGACCGAGAGGGGAAGGAUUCUAGACGAGGCACUCAACGCCGAGUUGAUCCCUCCUCCCAGAAAGGUGGCAAGCCCAAACAAUGUCGACCGAAGAAAGUAGUGUCGGUAUCACCAGAACAGCGAGCACUCCAGUGAGGAAUGCCAGGCUUUGAAAGGUAAGAUUGAAGAGCUCAUCCAGGAUAGGCACUUGCGCUGAUUCGUCAGGAAUGGCCGAGACGCAGGAUGCUCACCUCGUAGAGAGGAGCCCUCCAAGAGAAGGAGAUCACCCGGGGCCGAGAUGACCAAGACCGCGGGGACGAUCCUCCCAGGGAGGCCGAAAGAAGAGGUAACCGAGAGGUUAUCAACACCAUAGCCAGCGGCUUUGUUGGAGGAGGAAGUACCAACAACGCCCUAUGCUAGAAUAUCUGGAUAUAGAGGAGACGUGGUCCCAAUAUUCAAUUUAUUUUGCAGGGGUGUUGAUAUUGUUUAAAGUUGUAAAAAUAUUAGAUUUUGAUUGUUUAGUAUGUAAGUGUUGAUUUUUUUAUGUUAAAUAGGAUUUUAAAUGUCGUGGAUUUCGUUUUGAAAGAAAUUGUACGAUGAAAAUGGUAUGGAAUUGAAUUCAUACAUUUUGGAUAAUGUAAAUGUAUGAACUGAUGUUUAUUGGUGUAUUAAGUACUGAUGUUUAUGUGGUAACAGAGAUCUCCGAGCUUCACUGAUAAUUUAAAUCACAUACACUAAGAUAUCAGGUGGUGAGAAGUUGAUGGGGGAGUUCAUCACACCGUGACAUAUGAGAUGCAUGACUUGGGUUGUAUUGAACUUACCAUGAUCAUUUCUCUUGAAUUCACUAGUAAUAUUUGGAUCAGGUGUUAGUUUCUGAUAAGACUUACUUGAUAAGGGUCUUCCAGAAUGCAUCAGUUGUUAUUCUAUUUGUUGAAUAUUCUGAAUGUGUGCAUUUGUGUGAGAUCUAUGUGAUUGUUUUAUGUUGGGAUUUGAACAAGAUUGAAUAAUUGAGAAAUUAAUCCAUGUAAUUUGAUUUUUUCUUUUGAUUUAAUUGUGUAUAUUAUAAAAAUUUAUUUUCACUAAUUUACCCUUGUUUUUCUUACUGUGUUGUCAACUGCGAUGACCGUAUCAUACAAAUGUCGAAGGUUAUGGAAGUUUUAAGAUAUUCUUUUGAACCUUAUAUUGUAAAUAUUUAUAUUUUUAUAAGUCACAAUCAUGUAUUAAGAAUAUUUUGAAAAACUAUAAACUCGUAUAUAAACAUAAAAUUUGUAUUGUAAUAAUUAGAUGAAUUUCGUGUUACAUAGCCAAUUUAAUUUGAUUGCCUUAAUAAUUUUAAAACAAAGUAUAGGUAUUAUGUAUAAUACAAUUGAAAUCAAUUUGGCUUAAUAUAUUUUCUUUAACUUCUUACGUUUAUCUUACUUACAUCUUUUCAUUGAAAGACGCCGUUUCAUUAAAAAGAAAAGAAAAACGACAUCUUCUUCCUUUCCCACAUAAUCUCAUAUUUGAAAAUUCCUAUUUGAAACAUUAAUUAAUCUCGUAACCUUUAAAUGCAGUAGAAAUAUUUUAUAUAUUAGUAAUAGUUUAAAUGUAGAGUGAGAAAAGAUAAAUAUUUAGAUUUUUUUUUUCCUAUAAAAUCAUUUGUCUUACAAAUUGUAACUUUUUUUGUUUAAUCUAUUUCUUUCAUAUUAGAUUCAUUGAAAAAUAAUAUGAUUAUAUGCCUAUAUAAUAUUGUAAGAGAUUUUUUUUGUUUUUCCACAUUGUAUGAGUAGUUAAUCUAUCUAGCCACAUGUUUAUUUAUACCUUUAGGAGAAACAACAAAUUUAAAAAAUAAGUUUUUUUUUGUUAAGAGCACUUGAGGAUGGAAAUAAUUAUAAAUUUUAUUUAUUUAAUUAUUUAUCUAUUUAUUUUUGGAUUGUGACCUGUCACUACAAGAAAAUCAUGAAAUAGAAACCAAUUUUUAGAAACCAAAAUAAUUAGUUUCAAUAGGAACUAAAAUAGAGACCAUUUUAGAAACUAACAAAAAAAUUGGUUUCUAAAUUAGUUUCUAUUAUUUUCUAUUAUUGUUAAAUAGUUUCUAAAUUGGUAUCUAAUUAGCAACUAAGGUUUUAGAUACCAAUUAUUUAGUUUCUAAAUUUAGUCUCUAAAACCUUGGUUGCUAAUUAGAUACCAAUUUAGAAAUUAUUUAACAAUAAUAGAAAAUAAUAGAAACUAAUUUAAAAACCAAAUUUCUUUUUAGUUUCUAAAAUGGUCUCUAAUUUAGUUACUAUUGUAACUAAUUAUUUUGGUAUCUAAAAAUUGGUUUCUAUUUCAUAAUUUUCUUGUAGUGUGUAUAAAGUGAGAUGAAGAUUCAUGAAAAAAUUAGUAUUUUUUAAAUAUGACGUUACUCACUUUUUUUAAAGAGUUCUUACAAAUAAAUCUAUGUUUCAAAACAUUUUCAUUUCUUUUUAAUUAUUAUUUUAAACAUUUAUUUUGAUGGUUUCGAAUAUCUAAAUUUUUUACAGAUUUUAAGAAUUGAUAUUAAACCUAAUUUAGAUACAUAGUUCUUUCUUAAUCCAUUAAAUAUGUUAAUUAAGACAAAAUUGUGAUGUUAUUGAAUUCCAAAGUAUUUAGUACCAUAAAUGUGAUAAUCGAAUUUAUGUUAGAGUAAUAUCGAAAUUAAAAUAAUGAUUUCAUCUAAUAGAAAAAGAAGGAUCUAACUUAUUUUAUUGAACUCUAAAAUAGAUAUUAUUUUAGAUAUAUAUAUUUUUACACUUAGGACCUCUAACAAUGAAAAAGUAGUUUUAAAAAUAGGAAAAAACAAAUUUUAAGAAAAUAUAUAAUUUAUAUUUUACCAUACAUUAUUUAACUGUGUUUUAUAGAAUUAGUUAGAAAGUUAAAAGGAUAACUGGAUGUUAAACAAUCAGCCACUAGCUUAAAAUCAAUUAACUCUAGCAGAUUUUUUUUAAACAAGAUUAUUAAAUUAUAAAUAUUUGAUUAAAUUAUCUUCAUAAAUAUAAAAUUAUAGAAGUAUAUAUACGCUAAUAUGGUACUUCAUAUAAAUUAUAGUUUUAUUUUAUUGUUAAAAAUUUAUUCCGAAUAUUUAUCAUUUUAAUUUUUAACUAGUCUUAACAUUUUAUAUUUUUUUAUUUAUAGAUCAAUCAUUUUAAUUAUAUUUUUUAUAUUGUGUAUUAUAUCAUUCAUAGGAAGUAAUAUUGUAAAAUAUUUUCAAACAACUUUAAAAUAAAAUAUCAUAUUUUUAAAUAGACAUACCGUUACUCAGUUAAAAACAUUUUAAUAUUAAAAAAUAGUGUCCAUCAAGAUCAAUAUUUUAAAAUUUAUUAGUAAACUAAUGAAAUGAAUAUUGUGAAUAGGAUAAUCAUUAAAAUAAGUAGUGUGAUAUAAAAUAUUAGAAAGAUAAUUAUAUUACAUAGCAUUAUUAUUAUUAUUGAUAUGUUAUAUGGUAAAAAGGUAAACCACUACACAAACUGAAAACAGAAAAAGCAAUUGUAUAAAUUAGUUGAUAACAAAUUCAAAUGCAAAAAAAGGCUAAAUGAUAUUUGGAUAUAAUUUUAUAUAUAUAUAUAUAUAUAUAUAUAUAUGGAAUAAAAUAAAUUACAAAUUUCUCUUAUCCUUACACAAAUCUACUAAAUAUAACUCUUAAACUAAAAAUCCAAUCAUUAUAUUCAUCAUCUCAGAAGAAGAGUUAACACUCUGUUACUAGUUGAACCCUAUUGUUUAUUUCCAUAUUUUCUAGCAUGGUAGCCAUUUGGUGAGAUGGUUUCAUUACCUGCACUUUUCUCAAGCCAUUCAAAGACCAAAGUUUACUUGGAAGAUCAUCUAAUGUUUCACAAUUGUUGAUGAUCACACUCUGAAGCCUUAGCAUUGCACCAUUGCCUAAUUUCCACUUUCCAAGAUUCAAAUAUUCCAUUUCAAACACUUCCAGUUGUGGGAAACUGCCUGCCAAACAAUUCAGUUCAAAGGAAUUCCCAAAAUAACAUCUAUUUCCCGAAAGUCUCAAAAUUUUGAGUUUGGUGAGAUUUCCCAAACCAUUCAUCCCCUCAUCAAUAAAGGAGUUAAUCUUUGACAACGUUAACUCCGUAACAUUUGGAGGAAAUGCGAGCGCAAAGGUCAGAAGGUUAAAAACAUUGUCAAUCUUUAAGAAAGUUAGACAAUUGAACUGCUCUAGGAUUUGUGAAAGUUCUUGCAGCUUGAAACCUCCUGGAUAACUAGAUAAGAAGAUAAUCUCUAACUCAUUCAAAAGACUUGAUUGUUGUUGUAGGCUCUGCAACAAUUUGGGUAAUUCACCUUCGUAUUCACCAGUCACUCUCAACCCUAUCCUCUUAAGAUUGGGAAAUGUUCCUUUUUUUAUCAGAGAUGUUGCUUGCCUGUUGAGUAAUAGGGAAGAGAUGGUUUGUAGAUUCCACAUCCUCUCAACUGCUCCUGAACAAUUUCCUUGUAGCUCGAUAGAUCGUGCUGUAUUCAAAUGUCUUAAAUAUUUAAGUUUCCAAAUUUGGAUAGGGAAAGAAAUUGGCAUAACAAACCUUUUAUAACCUAUGUCUAUGGUUUGUAGAUUCCAAAGGUUAAGUAUUGAAGCUGGAACAAAAUCAAAAUAAGUUUCUUGUAUUCUCAAGUACCUUAAGUGGAUAAAGUUCCCCAAAUUGGAAGGGAUCUUAUUCAAUCCGAUAUAACUAAACUCCAUUACUCGAACUAAUUUGAAGCCUUUCGAAAGCCACUUCCAUUCCGUCCCAUAAAUAGAGUAACGUGGGUCAAAGAAGAAGAGGGAUCGGAUACAUGAAUGGUCAUUGUUGCUUGAAGAAAUGUAGUUACCCAUGUUACUGUGAAUGGACAGUCUACGAGGUUUUGUCGGGAUUAGAAUGUUAUUGUCUGUGCAAACUUCAAAAACUUUGUCCUCUUUGCUCUCUGAUAUGCAAAGAUCUCGAAGAAGAUCAUGAACCUGACAUGUCUCCAAACGUCCAUUAGUCUUCACUUUUGCUACUUGGACCAAACUGCGAUCGAUGAGUUCGUACAAGUAGUCUUCCGCAAUGUCAUCUAGGUCUCGAUUCCCUGUAUCUUGUAUAAAACCCUCGGCAACCCAUUUUUGCAAUAAUGGUGUGACAGGGAUUUCAAAGUCUUCAGGAAAUAUCCCAAGAUAGAGAAAACAUUGUUUUAAUCUCCUUGGCAAGUUGUCGUAGCUGAGUUUGAGAACUGUAUCUGUCACCUGGGUCUCAUCUUGAGUGAGAUACCAAUUAACAUGACCCACCACUUUUGACCAUUCUCUGUGUGACUUUUCCUUGUAGGCUAGCAGCCCUGCUAAGACAAUGAUGGAGAGCGGCAAACCUCGACAACUUUGAACCAUCUGCUUUCCAAGAGCCUCCAAAUCAGAAGGAUAGUCUUCACCCCUAAACACUUUUCUGCAAAACAACUCCCAACUUUCUUCUCCACUGAGAAACUGAAGAUAGUAAGGAAGAUCAUGGGCAGUAUGCAGGGCCACCUCUUUCAGACGACUAGUUAUCAAUAUUCUACUGCCUCUAUUGUUGUCGGGAAAAGCAUCUUGCACCUCAUCCCAAUCUUGCCUUUUCCACAGGUCAUCUACCACCACAAGAUACCUUCUACUCUCCAACUUGUUCCGCACUAGUUUCUUCAGCUCCUCCUCACUCAAGUUACUACUAGCUCGACUACUUUUUUUACCUUUCUUCUUGUCUUUGCAUUGUUGAUCAAAAUUUGGCAUCAAAUGCUUAAGAAGGCCAAGCAAAAGCUCCCUAACUCUGCACUCGUUUGACACAUAAACCCACGCUCGACAUUCGAAGUGUUGCUUCACCUCGCUGUUGUUAUAGACCUUCCGGGCAAGGGUGGUCUUGCCCAAUCCCCCCAUGCCAAUGAUAGAGACAGCUUUACGAUUUGAACCACCUUCCAAUAGUCGUUUGAUGACAACGUUGGAGUCAUGGACAAAGCCAACCACACCUUCUUCCUCCACAUUUUUUCUUAGCUUGUGCAGUGAUUGCGCCCUUUUCUUCUCCUCCUCCUCUUUUGCUGCGGAUUGAUUAUUGAUUUCUUCGAAAGCAUCAUAUUUGUCCUUAUUUUCGCGUAUUUCGUUGAGGGUGGUUUUUAUCUUGUUUACUUUGUCGGCUACGUCAUGGAGCAACCUUGCUUGGGCAAAGCCAUGGAGCAUCCUCCCCAGCAUGGUUCUCCUUUUGUAAAUGGCAACUUUGGCUACGAAAGUGUCGAUGACAUCCUCAGCUAGGUGGGCCACAUCUCUGAUUUGAUUCACCACUGUAUUAUCAAUUCCCUUCUUGCUUUUUGAGGUAUUGAGGAGGUCAUUGAUCAUCUGAAGCUCGUUCUGGAGGGACUGGAUCCUAUCCUCCACACCAUACAGCAAGUGAGCUUCGCGUGCCACAAGCUCAGAUAAAUGAUCCAAAACAAAGGUAACUACACUGUCUGCCAUUACAGCAAGGACGUGUAUGUAGUGUUUGAUCUGUGCUUGGAUGAUGUGUUUAUGGUUGGUGAUGGAAGAAGAGGAACCGGGUUUUAAAGAGACACAGGAGAAAGCAAUGGAUUGUAGCUUGCAACCAGACACUAAAGGAUAUCCAAAUAUAUAUUAUCAAUGUCUCUGCAAUAAAUAAUUUAAAAAGACUUUGGUUCAAGAAUUCUUGUUUUAUAUUUUUCUAUAGAUUUUGCGUGAACCAUGAAUAAUGAAAGUCUCUGCAAUAAAUAAUUUAAAAAGACUUGGGUUCAAGAAUUCUUGUUUUUAUAUUUUUCCAUUGAUUUUUCGUCAACAAUGAAUAGUGUUUAACUGAUUUAAGUACACAUUGCACCUUCCUGGUAUGUGCACUGCACCUUCUACUCUAUGUGUAAAUCAUUGAUUUGUUUUUCCACAUUUUGUGACUACUUAAUUCAUCUACCCACAAUUUUUCAACUUUAUCGUCCAAACCAAUCAAAAUUGCAGAGACACAAUAAAAAAAAAAAAUCAAAAAAAAAAAUACAAAAAAAAAAAUACAAAAAAAUAAAUAAAAAAAUAAAUAAAUAAAUAUAUAUAUAUAUAUAUAUAUAUAUAUAUAUAUAUAUANNNNNNNNNNNNNNNNNNNNNNNNNNNNNNNNNNNNNNNNNNNNNNNNNNNNNNNNNNNNNNNNNNNNNNNNNNNNNNNNNNNNNNNNNNNNNNNNNNNNACUUUAAAUAUGUAUUGCUUGGUGGUUGGAUGAAAUAGACUAAAUAUAUAUCCUAGCAAUUUCUCGUCACUCGUGAUCUUAUAUUCACAAAUAACACAUAAAAACUUAUCAAUAUAUUAAAUAUGUUAAAAAAAUUAUUUUGGUUAGUUAAUAAGGUCAACUGAAGUUUAAAAAUAAUAAUUUGUCCAUAAAAGGUACGUAUAUAGUAUUCGAUUAAAAUAAAUUCUUAUAAUAUUCAAUCAAGAUUAUAUGAAUUAUUUUUAAGAAUGAAAUAAAAUCACAUGUUUGUUCGAUAAAUAAAAAUAAUGUUUUUUAAAAAAAAUUUAGUUUGUAUACACAUUAUUAAAUCAACACUUUGUUUCUCCUGAUAUUUUUUAAUUUUUAAACAUUUUUUUUUUAAAUAUGUAACACCCAAAUUUUUUUAGAAAUAAAAGUCUUUGAAGAGAGAGUUUGUGUAGCAAAUAGUUAUUUAUACAAGGUUAAAAUUAUCCAAAAGUUUUAUUUACAAAGCAAACCUAAAGUGAGGUAUUGACCCUACACAUGUUAAGAUGCAUCUCCAAACACAUGAAAACAUUACUUAUAAAUCUCAUCAAGCAAGCUCAAGCUCUGACUCACAAGUCACUUAUGGAAUGUUUUCUUAUUAGCUAAAAAUCUCAUAUAUGAAGGCUAAAAGGCAUAAAAAGAAAAAGAAGCACAAAGAAGAGAAGGUGAGGACACUUAUCCAAUGGAGAUAUCAUCCAUGACUUCCUCCUCCACUUCGUCUUCAUCUUUCUCUUUAUAUGUUAAAUCCCCUUUUGUUCAGAAUAUAUGUAGUCAUCAAACUCUCUUAUAUAUUUUGAUUAUGUUUUUAUAUUGUGUUAUAUUACUAUUCGACAUUAUUUUUAACUUUUAUGUUUAUUGUGAAUCAACCAUAAAUUGGUUGAAGUAAAAGGUUGGAAAACUCUCAUAAACUUUUGACCUAAGAUACAAUCAAUAAAUCGUUUAUCUGAAAAUAGAGAAUAACAUAUUGAUAAUCUUUUAAAUCCUUUAUGCAAGUUUAUUUUAUUGAGUUGAAAGAGAAAUGUAAUUCAAUAGAGUAUACUUAAGGUUUGUUCUAUGAGAUUAGAGAAUAACUUUUCAUUUUAAGGAUUGAUGAUAACAAAGAAGAGGCAAAUCUUUAUUUUUGAGCUUAAUGAAACAAGAGAGUGAGGUGAUGAAGUCUAAUUCCAACAAUAUUCAUACCAUAUAUUUAUAUCAAACUAGCUUUCUCAUUUCAAAAAUACAAAAAAUAUUGUAGUGUUUACUUUUAACAUCUCUUUUAAGUUUUUGUUAUUUGAUCUCACUUCAUGUUUUAUUAUUUAUUUUAUGCCUAAUAGUAUAAAAUUAGUGUAGUUCUUAUCAUUACACGAAGUCUCAAUUGAUUCGACACUCUAACUAUCGAUAAGAAUGGUAAAUUACCAAAAAGUCAACAACACAUACUAAGCAUUUCAUAUAAGAAACUAGCAUAAUUCUCGUAUAAGCAUCUUACAUUUUGACUCAAUGACAACGAGUUAUGUUUAAAGCAUCCAGAGUAUGAGACUCUCAUUCAAUAUCUUAUCACUUGAUGUGUCUUAGUCUAUUCACUUGAUGUGUCUUAGUGUAUGUGACUUAGAUACUAAGUGAAGUCAUUAAUCUUUUUAUAAAUUCAAGUAGUUAAUACAUCAUCUCAAACUAUAAAACCAAGAAUAUUCCAAAUUCAAGUAUUUAUUAUUAUAUUUUUUAUGUUGUACAUUCUAUUAUUCAUAUGAUGCCAUAUUGUAAAAUAAUUUUUAUAUAUUGUAUUGAUUUGUUUACCUAUCCAGCUUUGUUUUAAAAAUUAUUAAAACACUUAUAGCUAUUACUAAAAAAAACAAAAAUUCAAUGAGAUUUUCAUUAAGAUAGUCUUUUUUUUUCUUACAACUUUAAUUGAUUACAUAUUUAUUUAUUUUUAGUGGUUUCUUUCAAAUAGUGUAUUGUAUUUUUAGUGGUAGGCAAAAUGUCCACUUAGUUAAAACAAGUCUUCACUCAAACUUUGAUACAUUUGAAACAUUGCAAUGGUAGGCAAAAUGUCGAUUUAGCUAAAACAAGUCUUCACUUAGAUUUGAGGGUUGUGCAGUGGUAGACAGAAUGCCGACCUGGUUAAAACAAGUCAUCAAUUAGAUUUACGGAACAGUGUAGUGAUAGAUAGAAUGGUGACCUGGUUAUAACAUAUCUUCACUUAGACUUGGAAAGUUGUGGAGUGUUAUGGUUCAAGUCCGAUCUCUUUAACUCAAAUUUUAGUAAUAUUUUUAAUAGGUAGUUGAUUGACUUGUAAGAGUAAGAUACGAAAUUAAACCCAUUUAAUAGAUGAAUCUCGAUAUUAUAGAAGAAUUUAAACCACUUUAAUAUGAAUCAUUAUAUAUAUUGUUAUAUUAAAAAUAUGUAAUUAGUAAUAAAUAAAAUGAAUAGAGACUUAAAAUCAUAAUGAAGGGUGAGAAUAAACAAAUAUGAUAUUAAAGGAUUAAAAGGGAUGGUGACAAAGGAAAGAAGAUAUAUUGAAGGUUCUGCUUAGGAUCUCCUUUCUUCUUGCCUAGAACACAUCUCAAUAAAUAUAAUUACCACUUUCAUUAAAUCAAAUACUUUUCUUGGACAUAGAUUUAAUUAUUCCAUCACAACCUUGAUUAUAUUUUUUUUUCUUUAUGUAAUUUUGUUGAAAAGGUAUAUUGUAUGUUAUAAAAUGCAAUUCUCAAACUCAUUGAAUUAAUACAUUUAUCACUUUUACAUCUUUUCGAUAAUUAUUUUUUAUCCUAAUCCAAUUUUUGUUAUUUGGUAUUCUAAUUUGAUAUUCACAAAUGUUUUUUUAUAUUUUAAAUUUAUAAACGAAGAUGUGUAUCUUUCAUAAAAAAAAUAAUUAAUAUUUAAAACCCUAAAAAAUUAAUUUAUACUUCUUACAUAUGAGAAUGGAAGAUGAAGAAUUUUCAAUUUAGAAAUAAAAAUGAGGAUAGUAAAACUCGCAACUAUCUCACCUUAUUUCUAGUAUGCUAAGGAAUUAAUUUACUAUUUUUUUAUUUAAAUUAUUUUUUAAAAUCUUUUAAUUCUUUAAAAAUAAUUUUAUCUAAAAAUAUUAAAAGAUUGAGAUAUUAUUAGUAAUGUAAUAUGAUUUUACAAUUUCUACACCACAUACAAAAUACAUCCAUAAAAUAAAUAACAAACUAUUCACUAUAAUAAAUUUCUUCGGUUUCACUAGUAUAAUUCAUAUUCAGAAUAGCUAAAUCUAUGGAAUCCAACGAAUCCAUCCACUCCAUCUGAGGUUGACGAUCCUCUGUGACGAUUUGAAUCCCAUCGUUUAUUUCCAAAUUUCGCAGCAUGUUAGCCAUUUUUUCUGAGGGUUUCAUUACCUGCACUUUUCUCAAACCACUCAAAGACCAGAGUUCAUGUGGGAGAUCAUCUAACCUUUCACAAUCGUUGAUGAUCACACGUUGAAGCCUCGACAUUGCACCAUUGUCUAAUUUCCACUUUUCAAGCUUCAAAAAUUCCAUUUCAAACACUUCCAGUUGUGGGAAGCUGCCUCCCACACAAUUCAGGUCAAAAGAAUCUCUAUCAUAAAAUACAUUUCCUGAAAGUCUCAAAAUUUUGAGUUUGGUGUGAUUUUCCAAACCAUUCAUCCCCUCAUCAGUAAUGCAGUCAAUCUCUGACAAUGUUAACUCUGUAAUGUUUGGAGGAAAUGCAAUCUCGUGGGUUAGAAGGUCCAAAGCAUUCACAAUGCUUAAGACACUUAGACAAUUCAAUUGCCCCAGGUUUUGUAACAGUUCUUGCUUCUUGAAACCAUUGUUCCUUUCCACACUCUCAUCGACCGACUUCUCUACACUUCUAUCAAUCUUAUCUCGGAGGAAAAUCUCUAACUUAUUCAAAUGACUUAAUUGUUGUAGGCUCUGCAAUAAUUUGGGUAAUUCACCUUCACAUCCAAAAGCUAGUCUCAAUCCUAUCCUCUUAAGAUUGGGGAAUGUUCCUUUCCUUAUGAGAGAUAUUCCUUGCCUGUUAAGUAUAAGGGAAGAGAUGGUUUGAAGAUUCCACAUCUUCUCAUCUGUUCCUGAAUCUCUACCUCACAGCUCGAUAGGUCAUUGUGUAUUCAAAUGCCUUAAAUGUUUCAGUUUCCAAAUUUGGACAGGGAAAGAAAUUGGAAAGUCACGCCUCGAAGGACCUAGGUCUAUGGUUUGUAGAUUCCAAAGGUUAAGUAUUGAAGUUGGAACAAACAUAAGAUACUCUAUUUCUAUUCUCAAGUACCUUAAGUUGAUAAAGUUCCCCAAAUUGGAAGGGAUCUUAUCGCAACCGCUUAGUCCAAACUCCAACACGCGAACCAAUUUGAAGCCUUUUGAAAGCCAUUUCCAGUCUGUCUCGCGAACAUAGUAAAUUGGGCCCAAGAAGAAUAGGGAAGAGAUACACGAAUGGUCAUUGUUGCUUGAAGAAAUGUAGUGAUCCAUCUUACUAUGAAUGGAGAGUCUACGAGCUUUUGUCGGGAUUAGAAUCUUAUUAUCUGUGGAAACUUCAAAAACUUUGUCCUUUUUGCUCUCUGAUAUGCAGAGAUCUCGAAGAAGAUCAUGAACCUGACACAUCUUCAAACCUCCAUUAGUCUCCAAUUUUGCUACUUGGACCAAACUACGAUCGAUGAGCUCAUACAAGUAGUCUUCCGCAACAUCAUCUGGGUCUCUAUUCCCUGUAUCUUGUAUAAAACCCUCAGCAACCCAUUUUUGCAAUAAUGGCAUAACAGGGAUUUCAAUGUCUUCCGGAAAUAUCCCAAGAUAAAGAAAGCAUGGUUUUAAUCUCCUUGGCAAGUUGUCGUAGCUGAGUUUGAGAACAAUGUCCUUCACUUGGGUCUCAUCUUGAGUAAGAUACCAAUUAACAUGACCCACCACUUUUGACCAUUCCCUGUAUGACUUUUCCUUGUAGGUUAGCAGCCCUGCUAAGACAAUGAUGGAGAGCGGCAAACCACGACAACUUUGAACCAUUUGCUUUCCAAGAGCUUCCAAAUCAGAAGGGUAGUCUUCACCCCUAAACACUUUCCUACAAAACAACUCCCAACUUUCUUCUUCACUCAGGAACUGAAGAUAAUAAGGAAGAUCAUGGGAAGUAUGCAGUGCUACCUCUUUCAAACGACUAGUUAUCAAUAUUCUGCUGCCUCUAUUGUUGUCCGGAAAAGCAUCUUGCACCUCAUCCCAAUCUUGCCUUUUCCACAGGUCAUCUACCACCACAAGAUACCUUCUACUCUCCAACUUGUUCCGCACUAGUUUCUUCAGCUCCUCCUCACUCAAGUUACUACUAGCUCGAGUGCUUUUUUUACCUUUCUUCUUGUCUUUGCAUUGUUGUUCAAAAUUUGGCAUCAAAUGCUUAAGAAGGCCAAGCAAAAGCUCCCUAACUCUGCACUCAUUUGACACAUAAACCCACGCGCGACACGUGAAGUGUUGCUCCACCUGACUGUUGUUAUAGACCUUUCGGGCAAGGGUGGUCUUCCCCAAUCCCCCCAUGCCAAUGAUAGAGACAACGUUACGUUUUGAACCACCUCCCAAGAGUCGUUUGAUGACAACCUUGGAGUCAUGUACAAAGCCAACCACACCUUCUUCCUCCACAUUUCUUCUUAGCUCGUGCAGUGAUUGCACCCUUUCCUUCUCCUUCUCCUCUUCUUCUGCAGAUUGAUUAUUGCUUUCUUUGAAAGCAUCAUAUUUGUCCUUGUUGUCGCGUAUUUCGUUGAGAGUGGUUUUGAUCUUGUCUAUUUUGUCGGCUACGUGGUGAAGCAACCUUGCUUGGCCAAAGCCACGGAGCAUCCUCCCCAGUAUGGUUCUCCUCUUGUAAAUGGCAACUUUGGCUACGAAAGUGUCGAUGACAUCCUCAGCUAGGUGGGCCACAUCUCUGAUUUGGUUCACCACUGUAUUUUCAAUUCCCUUCUUGCUCUUUGAGGUAUUGAGGAGGUCGUUGAUCAUUUGAAGCUCGUUCUGGAGGGACUGGAUCCUGUCCUCCACGCCAUACAGCAAGUUAGCUUCGCGUGCCACAAGCUCAGAUAAAUGAUCCAAAACAAAGGUAACUACACUGUCUGCCAUUACAGCUGUGACGUGCGUGUAGAUCUUGAUCUAUGCUUGGAUAGUGUGUUUGUGGUUGGUGAUGGAAGAAGAGGAACAGGGAUUUUGAUCUGUGGUUGGUGAUGGAAGAAGAGGAAAGAGUAUGCAAAUAUAUAUUAUGAGAAGUGAGUUGCGUUGAAGAGUUCUGGAUCU
Molecule: long non-coding RNA, 42684 nt
Filed under: Phaseolus vulgaris (common bean)
Lineage: Eukaryota; Viridiplantae; Streptophyta; Magnoliopsida; Fabales; Fabaceae
Description: long non-coding RNA (PVUL_LNC000022)
Source: RNAcentral